CCUACGGGUGGCAGCAGUGAGGAAUAUUGGUCAAUGGACGCAAGUCUGAACCAGCCAAGUCGCGUGCAGGAUGACGGCCCUAUGGGUUGUAAACUGCUUUUGUACGGGGAUAAAGUCAGGUACGUGUACCUGUUUGCAUGUAUCUUAUGAAUAAGGAUCGGCUAACUCCGUGCCAGCAGCCGCGGUAAUACGGAGGAUUCAAGCGUUAUCCGGAUUUAUUGGGUUUAAAGGGAGCGUAGGCGGGCUGUUAAGUUAGUGGUGAAAGUUCGCGGCUCAACCUCAAAAUUGCAAUUGAUACUGGAAGGCUUGAGAAUAGUUGCGGUAGGCGGAAUGCGUGGUGUAGCGGUGAAAUGCUUAGAUAUCAUGAAGAACUCCGAUUGCGAAGGCAGCUUACUAAACUGCUUCUGACGUUGAGGCUCGAAAGCGUGGGGAGCAAACAGGAUUAGAUACCCCGGUAGUC
This 460-nucleotide ribosomal RNA is filed under the name uncultured bacterium. RNAcentral describes it as "partial 16S ribosomal RNA". It matches the Rfam family "Bacterial small subunit ribosomal RNA", at positions 338 to 795 of the family's 1533-position model. The record is from RNAcentral.